This 259-nucleotide ribosomal RNA is filed under the name uncultured Rickettsia sp. RNAcentral's name for it is "partial 16S ribosomal RNA". It matches the Rfam family "Bacterial small subunit ribosomal RNA", at positions 238 to 508 of the family's 1533-position model. Lineage: Bacteria; Pseudomonadati; Pseudomonadota; Alphaproteobacteria; Rickettsiales; Rickettsiaceae. The record is from RNAcentral.
AGAUUAGGUAGUUGGUGAGGUAAUGGCUCACCAAGCUGACGAGUCUGUAGCUGGUCUGAGAGGAUGAUCAGCCACACUGGGACUGAGACACGGCCCAGGACUCCUACGGGAGGCAGGCAAGUGGGGGAAUAUUGGACAAUGGGCGAAAGCCUGAUCCAGCAAUACCGAGUGAGUGAUGAAGGCCUUAGGGGUUGUAAAGCUCUUUUAGCAGGGAAGAUAAUGACGUUACCUGCAGAAAAAGCCCCGGCUAACUCCGUGC